RNAcentral lists this ribosomal RNA (403 nucleotides) under uncultured bacterium. Its description in RNAcentral is "bacterial SSU rRNA". It matches the Rfam family "Bacterial small subunit ribosomal RNA", at positions 30 to 419 of the family's 1533-position model. The record is from RNAcentral.
AGUGAACGCUGGCGGCAGGCCUAACACAUGCAAGUCGAGCGGCAGCGCGUCCGACCACCCUCGGGUGGUCGGAUGGCGGCGAGCGGCGGACGGGUGAGGAAUGCAUCGGAAUCUGCCUCGUUGUGGGGGAUAACGUAGGGAAACUUACGCUAAUACCGCAUACGACCUACGGGUGAAAGUGGGGGACCUUCGGGCCUCACGCGAUGAGAUGAGCCGAUGCCGGAUUAGCUAGUUGGCGGGGUAAAGGCCACCAAGGCGACGAUCCGUAGCUGGUCUGAGAGGAUGAUCAGCCACACUGGAACUGAGACACGGUCCAGACUCCUACGGGAGGCAGCAGUGGGGAAUAUUGGACAAUGGGGGGCAACCCUGAUCCAGCCAUGCCGCGUGUGUGAAGAAGGCCUUC